AUACGUAGGGGGCGAGCGUUGUCCGGAAUGAUUGGGCGUAAAGGGCGCGUAGGCGGCCCGGUAAGUCUGGAGUGAAAGUCCUGUUUUUAAGAUGGGAAUUGCUUUGGAUACUGUCGGGCUUGAGUGCAGGAGAGGUAAGUGGAAUUCCCAGUGUAGCGGUGAAAUGCGUAGAGAUUGGGAGGAACACCAGUGGCGAAGGCGACUUACUGGACUGUAACUGACGCUGAGGCGCGAAAGUGUGGGGAGCAAACAGGAUUAGAUACCCGGGUAGUCCACACUGUAAACGAUGAAUGCUAGGUGUAGGGGGUAUCGACCCCUCCUGUGCCGCAGUCAACACAAUAAGCAUUCCGCCUGGGGAGUACGGCCGCAAGGUUGAAACUCAAAUGAAUGGACGGGG
This 397-nucleotide ribosomal RNA is filed under the name uncultured bacterium. RNAcentral describes it as "partial 16S ribosomal RNA". It matches the Rfam family "Bacterial small subunit ribosomal RNA", at positions 523 to 918 of the family's 1533-position model. The record is from RNAcentral.